Molecule: small RNA, 650 nt
Filed under: Pongo abelii (Sumatran orangutan)
Lineage: Eukaryota; Metazoa; Chordata; Mammalia; Primates; Hominidae
Description: processed transcript
Source: RNAcentral
AGCGGGGUGACUGGGGAAGAGGUGAGGUAAUAAGGACAGAAGCAAGGCAAAGAGGGGUCAGGGACGAGGUAAUUGGAGAGAGACAACACAAACGUCUAAAGAAAGCAGGCCGUCAGUGCCCAGAUACCAGAGUCCGGAAGGCCGCAGUACCUGGGGCUGCGCCCCGCCGCGGCCGGAGCGGGUGCCCCUGGCCAGCAGCUCCCAGCGCCAAGGUCUUCCGACGGCCUAGGUGCGGGCCGCGCCUGGAGCUGGGCCUGGCCGACCAACCACACGGGGGCGCUGGCCCGGGCGGGGGCAGCCGGGGCGUUGCCCGCGCAGCGCACCAAGAGGAAGCCGUCCAUCAAGGCGGCCCGCGCCAAAAAGAUCUUCGGCUGGGGGGACUUCUACUUUCGGGUGCAUACCCUAAAGUUUUCGCUGCUGGUGACCGGCAAGAUCGUGGACCAUGUGAACGGUACCUUCAGUGUGUAUUUCCGCCACAACUCGUCCAGCCUGGGCAACCUCAGUGUCAGCAUCGUGCCGCCCUCCAAGCGUGUCGAGUUCGGAGGAGUCUGGCUGCCCGGGCCUGUCCCCCACCCUCUGCAGUCUACGCUCGCCCUGGAGGGGGUGCUUCCUGGGCUGGGGCCCUCGCUGGGGAUGGCAGCAGCAGCGGU